Molecule: ribosomal RNA, 607 nt
Filed under: uncultured bacterium
Lineage: Bacteria
Description: bacterial SSU rRNA
Rfam family: Bacterial small subunit ribosomal RNA
Source: RNAcentral
CCUACGGGAGGCAGCAGUAAGGAAUAUUGGUCAAUGGACGCAAGUCUGAACCAGCCGUGCCGCGUGAAGGAUUAAGGCCCUCUGGGUUGUAAACUUCUUUUAUAGGGGACGAAAAAAGGGCAUUCUUGCUCACUUGACGGUACCCUAGGAAUAAGCACCGGCUAACUCCGUGCCAGCAGCCGCGGUAAUACGGAGGGUGCAAGCGUUAUCCGGAUUUACUGGGUUUAAAGGGUGCGUAGGUGGGUUGGUAAGUCAGUGGUGAAAUCUUCGAGCUUAACUCGGAAACUGCCAUUGAUACUAUCAAUCUUGAAUCAUCUAGAGGUAAGCGGAAUAUGUCAUGUAGCGGUGAAAUGCUUAGAUAUGACAUAGAACACCAAUUGCGAAGGCAGCUUACUAUGGAUGUAUUGACACUGAGGCACGAAAGCGUGGGGAUCAAACAGGAUUAGAUACCCUGGUAGUCCACGCCCUAAACGAUGGAUACUCGACAUUUGUGAUAUACUAUAAGUGUCUGAGCGAAAGCAUUAAGUAUCCACCUGGAAGUACGACCGCAAGGUUGAACUUAAAUGAAUUGACGGCUGAGAGAGACGAGACGACGACGAGGAGGAGG